CUACGUGCCAGCAGCCGCGGUAAUACGGAAGGUCCAGGCGUUAUCCGGAUUUAUUGGGUUUAAAGGGAGCGUAGGCUGGAGAUUAARUGUGUUGUGAAAUGUAGACGCUCAACGUCUGAAUUGCAGCGCAUACUGGUUUCCUUGAGUACGCACAACGUUGGCGGAAUUCGUCGUGUAGCGGUGAAAUGCUUAGAUAUGACGAAGAACUCCGAUUGCGAAGGCAGCUGACGGGAGCGCAACUGACGCUUAAGCUCGAAGGUGCGGGUAUCRAACAGGAUUAGAUACCCUGGUAGUCCGCACGGUAAACGAUGGAUGCCCGCUGUUAGCGCCUGGCGUUAGCGGCUAAGCGAAAGCAUUAAGCAUCCCACCUGGGGAGUACGCCGGCAACGGUGAAACUCAAAGGAAUUGACGGGGGCCCGCACAAGCGGAGGAACAUGUGGUUUAAUUCGAUGAUACGCGAGGAACCUUACCCGGGCUUGAAUUGCAGACGCAGGAUACAGAGAUGU
Molecule: ribosomal RNA, 506 nt
Filed under: uncultured bacterium
Lineage: Bacteria
Description: bacterial SSU rRNA
Rfam family: Bacterial small subunit ribosomal RNA
Source: RNAcentral